RNAcentral lists this unclassified non-coding RNA (386 nucleotides) under uncultured bacterium. RNAcentral's name for it is "contains 16S-23S intergenic spacer region". The record is from RNAcentral.
UCCGGUUUGUCACCGGCAGUCCCGACAGAGUCCCCGACGGCCUUUCGGCCUCGCUGGCAACAGUCGGCAAGGGUUGCGCUCGUUGCGGGACUUAACCCAACACCUCACGACACGAGCUGACGACAGCCAUGCAGCACCUGUCUACGAGCCCCGAAGGGGGGCCCCUGUUUCCAGAGGCUUUCCCGUAGAUGUCAAGCCUAGGUAAGGUUCUGCGCGUUGCUUCGAAUUGAACCACAUGCUCCACCGCUUGUGUGAGCCCCCGUCAAUUCCUUUGAGUUUUAGCCUUGCGACCGUACUUCCCAGGCGGUCGACUAGCACUUUUGCUUCGACCGUGAAGGCGUCAGAGCCACCACGAUCUAGUCGACAUCGUUUACGGCCAGGACUAC